GACGCGUUGCAUUUAUAAUUCAUUGAAUGCCGAGCAGUGGCGGCGACAGGAAGAGUAAAUGCGGCGUAUCUAUUCACUGCACUUUUCAAAGGCCCUCGAACGGCGCAACUGUCGUCCAUUAAAAUCGAUGCGUCCUCGAAAAAGUUGUGCCGCGGUUGCAAAGUCGCCGGAAGAUUCGCCGUUCAUCUCCGUUUUAUUCGAGCCACUCGCCAUGGAUGAUUGUGUCAACGGCCGCGACGUUAUAAUAAAAGUGUCGAACGCCGCUGCAAUUUACUGUCACGUAAUUUACAUCCAUGUAUCUCGGCGGGAUGAUACAAAAGCGGCACGCGCGAUUCAGCCCGUUCCACUUGAUCGUAUCAUUUGUCCCCUUUUGAAUUACUUCAAAAAUCUGCACGUAAUAAAUUUUUGCACAAUUGUUUAUCGCGUUUCAAUUUCUUGUAUAAAACACAUUGGAAUCGUUGUGUAACCCAUUAAUGACCAGAGUCUAUUUGUGAGACAUUGCCUCGUAUUUAUCGAAUAAGAUCACUUGAUUAAUCUAUCAUUUUAUUUUAUUUUUAUGUUUUCAGAGAAAGAGAGAGCACCUAACUUUCAGUUAUGUCUUCAAUAAAAAUAAUUGUAAUAUUAGCCUCAGAUCUUUCGAAUACAAAUAGUCUGACCGUUUCAUUAAAAACGUUUGCUGAAAAUUGUGGCCUCUAAUAGAUUAACUGCGAUAUCUUCUAAAGAGAUAUUUUCCACGCGCGUACUAUUGAAAACCUUUUAAAGAACAAGACAUCACGAGCGCGACAAACAAAUUAUUCCUCGAGACAUUCAAUCCGCAAACAAGCCGUGCAACACAUCCGUGUUCAAACCACAGGAGCAGGAGUGAGAAGAGAUCGAGAAAUAGAUCAGGCGAAAAAGAGAGCGCGUACGUCACGAGGACGUCGAGUGGAACGUACGAUUCGCGAAGCAAUUUUUCAAAAACCUGGAGGAUUGUGUCGUGUGCGCGCGAACACAUAGGCACGUGUGGAACACGUGUGUGCCUGUGUCAAAGCACUUACCAGCUGGCACGAUAUGGUAGACGCAGGGCUCGAGCUGAGUGCCCUGGUCAUUGCUGCCCCAGCAAAGGAGAGUGCCAUAGUCCAACUCGGUCAUUGGUGAACGAUACUUCCGGCGGGUUCGCCUCCAGUUCGCAGGGGAUGCUCGCGGUCUCCUGCCGCGCCACGCCGAAUACCUUCGUCUGGCCGUGUUGGCAUACCGGUACGACUGGAAAUCAGAGAAGCAUGGAGAAGAGGAUUAGCGAGGCGACACGCGGCGAUUUUGGUCAAAGCUUUAGCCGGCAGGAGACAAUUCUGGCGUAGUUGAAUAAUAAAAGCGGUUUUUGCACCGAUACUGCGCCCGCAAAAAGAAAAGAAUAAAAUGAUUAAAAAAUUUCGUUAAUCGCGAUCCAACUUUCUUUGCUAUAAUUUGCGUCCCUUUUCAUCGACCAUUUUUGUCGAAAUGACUUUAAUCUCUCGGCUUCAGGCUUGAUUACGAUAUUCAAUAUCGAAGAGCUGCAGAAACCGCGAUGAGAUAUUUUACGACAGCGGAAAUGAUUACAUCACUUUGAGACAUAAAUAUCACCGGUCUGUUUAUUAUAUAAAUUGCGUCUAUCAGCGAACGCGCUCUGUGUACGCACGGAUGAUCAGGGUGAAUGAAACGGAGAUAGCUCGAUUGAUCGACUAUUAAUCCGGGCGCGGAUUAAUGAUGGAUAAUUUAUGCGUAUUAAAGCUAUUAAAUACUAAUGAGCGCAGCUGGUAUGCGAACGCUGGCAAAUGUCAGUCAGUCGGUCAUAAGCCAUGCACAGACUUCAGGUAGAGCUGGUUGGCUGUAUAUGUAUGUGUGUCUGUUCUGUGUGUGUGUGUGUGUUUCUGCGUGUGUAAAGCAUCCUGCGGAAUGAUUUAACGCUCACUGAACCGUACACAGUGUAAGACACUUUACACGGAUAAAAUGCGCGGAAAAGACCGUAUACAUCACUACAAUAAAUUCACACUAGCCAACUUCGAGACAUACGGCGAAGACGGCGAUAUUUUUUCGCCGGCGUAUCUUUCUGUUGCUUUAUUAUCGAGUGCGACCUACAGGAGCUGUGCAUAUAUCUUAUGAAUGAAUCACUUUCGCGCCGAUGACAAAGCGUCUUCGAGGGAAGACGAACGAGGAUGUCGAACGUUAGAGAAAAUCGUCCAUAAUUAAUCCCUUAAGUAAUAUACUAGAAAAAGUUUCGUGGAAAAAUAUUAUACAUCUCUAUUUUGACUUACUUAAACUAUUGUAUUUCUUUAGCUCUCUUUUUUGUCAAUCCCUCGAGUAGUAUGCCCGAAAAUGUCAUGAUAAAACUAUUAAAUCUCUUAUGAUUGACUUAAAUUAUUGUAUUUCUUCAAUUCGUAGCAAAUGAAAAUCAAAUACAUUUCGAUUAAGUGACUUAGAUUCUAUUUGCCAAAAUUCCUCAAAGAAAAUGGCAAUAAAGGGAAAAGAAUCUAGAUAAAAAAUCUAGAUAAAAAAUCUUAUUAAAAAAAUUGCAUUCUGAAGAAAAUCGUACGACCGUUUUAAGUCUUCAUUGAGAAGGUUGAAAACACGUGACAUGACAAACAGAUAAUAUCUUAAUCACCAGCUCACUUAUUAUAUACGAGCUUUCAACUAAUUGCGCAGAGCGCGAGCGUUUCGCUAUUAUGCAUGUGAUAUAUUUCGAGUUUUAUAACUCGUAUAACGCUUGAGACUAAUAUUGAGCUUAUAUUCUUUUUUUACAACACACCGAAAGAGCUGUCAAAACUUGCUUAUAGUUUAAGGUUAAUGCGUGCAUACAAAAUUGACUUACGGCUGCCCUUCACGUUGUUUCUUCGCAGAGCGCGAGCCUUUAUGAAACAUUGUUUUCUUUUAUAGUGCACGAUCCCGAGAUAUUAAACGUCGAUAUGAAGCGGAGAUCUCUCUUUCUCUCUCUCUCGCGCGCGUGCACGCUCCAAAUACACGGACAUUUCCUCCUACGCGUAGGAUUUAUGUCCCUCGUAAACAAAGCUAACUCCUAAGCUGAUUUAACGUCGAUCCGCGCGCAUACCGGUGCGUCAGUAUCAGUUACGUGUCAACGCUGCGCGAACGCAGUGACACAGAAGUUAACUCAAGUGCCUGGACUUCGGAGAAACUUUAGAUCCAGAAGACUGCACGGCGCAUUUUCUUAUUUUUCCCGAUUGCAACAGUCAUGUUCUCACAUCGGCAAGAAAAUAGAACGCUGAAAAAAUACAGGUUCCAAGAGCGCGUUGGGCUAAUUCCCAAGAGAGAGAAAGAGAGAGAACACGUCCCUCGGUUGCGUCUGCAUUUUUUCUGCGGCCAAAAAUAUUGGGAAGAAGUCGUGGAAAAUCGUCUCGCGAGGAAAUCGUUUGUAGCUCGUCGGUCGUCUCGAAUGAGAAGAAAGUGUAGUGUUCGAAAGAUAUUGCGGAUGUCUACGUUACAACGUCGAAUGAAUGACGCCGCCAGUAGUCGGACUUAAUUAGAGCGCCGAUGUAGAUUAUGGCGGAUGACAUGCGGGAAAUGUAUGUAACGGAUACUCACACUUUAUGUCC
Odontomachus brunneus is the source of this 3563-nucleotide long non-coding RNA. RefSeq lists it as uncharacterized. The transcript is spliced from 3 exons. NCBI's taxonomy places the organism in Eukaryota, Metazoa, Arthropoda, Insecta, Hymenoptera, Formicidae. The record is from RefSeq and is a predicted model, not a curated record.